RNAcentral lists this ribosomal RNA (404 nucleotides) under uncultured bacterium. Its description in RNAcentral is "bacterial SSU rRNA". It matches the Rfam family "Bacterial small subunit ribosomal RNA", at positions 354 to 775 of the family's 1533-position model. The record is from RNAcentral.
GUGGGGAAUCUUGCACAAUGGGGGCAACCCUGAUGCAGCGACGCCGCGUGAGCGAUGAAGCCCUUCGGGGCGUAAAGCUCUUUCGACCGGAACGAUAAUGACGGUACCGGGAGAAGAAGCUGCGGCUAACUACGUGCCAGCAGCCGCGGUAAUACGUAGGCAGCAAGCGUUGUUCGGAGUUACUGGGCGUAAAGAGUGCGUAGGCGGUUUUCUAAGUUCGGUGUGAAAUCUCCCGGCUUAACUGGGAGGGUGCGCCGAAGACUGGGAAGCUGGAGUGUGGGAAAGGCAUGCGGCAUUCCUGGUGUAGCGGUGAAAUGCGUAGAUAUCAGGAGGAACACCGGCGGUGUAGACGGCUUGCUAGACCAUAACUGACGCUGAGGCACGAAAGCGUGGGUAGCAAACAG